This 245-nucleotide ribosomal RNA is filed under the name uncultured bacterium. RNAcentral's name for it is "partial 16S ribosomal RNA". It matches the Rfam family "Bacterial small subunit ribosomal RNA", at positions 524 to 768 of the family's 1533-position model. The record is from RNAcentral.
GACGUAGGAUGCGAGCGUUGUCCGGAAUUACUGGGCGUAAAGCGUACGUAGGCGGUCCCUUGAGUCGGGGGUUAAAGACUGCGGCUUAACCGCAGGAGUGCCCUCGAUACUGGGGGACUGGAGGGUGGCAGAGGAAGGCGGAAUUCCCAGUGUAGCGGUGAAAUGCGUAGAUAUUGGGAGGAACACCAGUGGCGAAAGCGGCCUUCUGGGCCAUUCCUGACGCUGAGGUACGAAAGCCAGGGGAG